This 455-nucleotide ribosomal RNA is filed under the name uncultured Rikenellaceae bacterium. Its description in RNAcentral is "partial 16S ribosomal RNA". It matches the Rfam family "Bacterial small subunit ribosomal RNA", at positions 341 to 792 of the family's 1533-position model. Lineage: Bacteria; Pseudomonadati; Bacteroidota; Bacteroidia; Bacteroidales; Rikenellaceae. The record is from RNAcentral.
ACGGAAGGCAGCAGUGAGGAAUAUUGGUCAAUGGACGGAAGUCUGAACCAGCCAUGCCGCGUGAAGGACGAAGGCCCUAUGGGUCGUAAACUUCUUUUGUCCGGGAGUAAUAAGGCGGGUGCGCCCGCCGAUGAGAGUACCGGGCGAAUAAGCAUCGGCUAACUCCGUGCCAGCAGCCGCGGUAAUACGGAGGAUGCAAGCGUUAUCCGGAUUUAUUGGGUUUAAAGGGUGCGUAGGCGGGCCUUUAAGUCAGCGGUGAAAUCCCCCGGCUCAACCGGGGGGGCUGCCGUUGAUACUGGAGGCCUUGAGUCCGAACGGCGCCGGCGGAAUAUGUCAUGUAGCGGUGAAAUGCUUAGAUAUUACAUAGAACACCGAUCGCGAAGGCAGCUGGCGAGGACGGCACUGACGCUGAGGCACGAAGGCGUGGGGAUCAAACAGGAUUAGAUACCCUGGUA